This 719-nucleotide ribosomal RNA is filed under the name uncultured bacterium. RNAcentral's name for it is "bacterial SSU rRNA". It matches the Rfam family "Bacterial small subunit ribosomal RNA", at positions 8 to 683 of the family's 1533-position model. The record is from RNAcentral.
AGAGUUUGAUCCUGGCUCAGGAUGAACGCCGGCGGUGUGCCUAAUACAUGCAAGUCGAACGCGUUGGCCCAACUGAUUGAACGUGCUUGCACGGACUUGACGUUGGUUUACCAGCGAGUGGCGGACGGGUGAGUAACACGUAGGUAACCUGCCCCAAAGCGGGGGAUAACAUUUGGAAACAGAUGCUAAUACCGCAUAACAAUUUGAAUCGCAUGAUUCAAAUUUAAAAGAUGGCUUCGGCUAUCACUUUGGGAUGGACCUGCGGCGCAUUAGCUUGUUGGUAGGGUAACGGCCUACCAAGGCUGUGAUGCGUAGCCGAGUUGAGAGACUGAUCGGCCACAAUGGAACUGAGACACGGUCCAUACUCCUACGGGAGGCAACAGUAGGGAAUCUUCCACAAUGGGCGCAAGCCUGAUGGAGCAACACCGCGUGAGUGAAGAAGGGUUUCGACUCGUAAAGCUCUGUUGUUAGAGAAGAACGUGCGUGAGAGCAACUGUUCACGCAGUGACGGUAUCUAACCAGAAAGUCACGGCUAACUACGUGCCAGCAGCCGCGGUAAUACGUAGGUGGCAAGCGUUAUCCGGAUUUAUUGGGCGUAAAGCGAGCGCAGGCGGUUUGAUAAGUCUGAUGUGAAAGCCUUUGGCUUAACCAAAGAAGUGCAUCGGAAACUGUCAGACUUGAGUGCAGAAGAGGACAGUGGAACUCCAUGUGUAGCGGUG